UCAAGUUGUAGUUGUUAAAUGGGUGAGCUCGUGUCACCCACAGUGAAAAUGAUGAUGUAGUGGAGUGCGCCCGUACAGUGGAGCUGAGUAAACAGUUGGGGUGCUGCUGGCGGCGGCGGCGGUUGCCAAUCCUCCACAGCCAACGACACCCGCAACUCCAUGAAACGAGCAAAAACUAGGACGGACACCACCUUUGGUCCACUUCUAAUGCCAUGAAACCCCCCCCCCCCCCACCCACUCACUCCACCCCCGCUCCUUCCACCCAAGAGUGAAGAAACGCAUCAUCGGAAUCGAUAAGUGACUGUCGACAGCUGCUAUGCGGAGAUGAAAACACCCGGAACCGAACCAAGCGCGCCUUUCCUUUUUCUUUUUCUCGUCCACACAUUUUCCGCCAGAGUCCGCGAUUGCGUGCGGGCACUGAUGGAGAGAAUGACGAGAUGGCAGGUCGAGGAUGGAGAAAGCAACCCGUGAAGACAUUCUUACAGUAAAAUCGGCACACGGUCGGGUCUUUUCAGGGAGCAACAGCUGCACUCUGGGACGCCUUUUCAGGGGGAAAAAAAAAACGGAAGCUGGAGUGGCUUGCGUGUGGAACACAGCGACUUGAUCCACAGGGAAGUUUCCAACAAUGACAUCCAUCCGGCGACUUGACGUGGAUGCUGGAAGUGUGACAAGAACAAUUCACAUCAGUGACUCGGAGAACAAAAUCCACGCCACCUUGACCUGAAGUCAGGUGAGUGUGGCGUCGCUGAAACCAAGCGAAACCUCGACAUUUGGGAUGGGGAACCUCAUCUUUCUUCCAUUUGCCUUGGACAAACUGACGGCUCUUUUUACAAACCGGUGCUGAAAAUGCUGACUUUGGGCCUUUGGGAAAGAGCAAUUAAAGAUGGAGAACGUGUAUGAUUAAAGUCAAUACAUUUUUGAAGGGCCAGACGACCAACAACAACUCCAAAAAGUGGCAUUAAAGAACAGAAUACAAUCAAAUAAGUAUGUAAAAAUCAUGUGGAAAAGGCCAUACUGACGAGUUUAAAACAUUUAUGAUAACCACGCAUAAAACAAGAUAGAUUUAACUCAACUAAAGGCUCCAAAACUAAACUAGAUUUAGUUUUGGAGCCUUUUUAAAAAUGUAAUAUUUGAUAGUCAAUGACUGAUAAGAGUCAAGUCGACAGUAUUUAUAGAGCACUUUCAAACAGCCAUCGCUGCAUACAAAGUGCUGUACAUGGAGCAAUUUAACAUGCACAAUAAACAGUAAGACAAAUCGGUAAUAAAGGCGCUCUCUGAAUAUUCAUUAGGAAGACUUCCAAAACAAAAGAAAGGAGAAUCAAAGUAUUUAACAACCCUUGUCCAACUACAGUGGGUAGAAUAUAAAGUCUACACACCAUGUUCAAAUGUCAGGUUUUUGUAUUUUAAAAAAAAAAGACUAUAUAAUAUUCAUGGAAAUAUUUUUGAAACUUUUUCCAAAGCUAGAACCUGCACAACUCAACUGGGAAAAAAAGCAAACGACUAAAAAUGGCAGACAUCUUUUUGAGAGGGUCCGCAAAAAUAAAAAACUGUGGUCAUGUGCUUACACAGGUCUGCCCACCCUUUUUUUAACUGGAAAACGUGGCUGCGUUCAGAACCGAACAAUCACAUUUAAACUCGCGUUAAAUGGGAGGCGGCGCGCACCUGCCGCCAUUUCAAGUGCCUCAGGUUAACUGCAGAAUAAAGUUCAGUUGUUGUCGUACAGAUGCCGGAUCUGUCUAAUUUUUUUCCUCACACAAAAGCCUGGCAUUUGAACACCGGGGUGGACACUUUUUAGAUGCACUGGAUUUUCCCCACCACUAAGCUGCCAGUACAUGAGACCAUCACGCUUCAGAAGGGUCUGCCUUCCCUCUCCCCGCCCAGUCCACGCGGCGGCUUCCUUCUUCGCGUCUUUGCACAGCAGAUGUGCACUUGACCGCAACCUCCUGCAGGAGCACGCUCUCGACGCAGCGCAGCUGUCCUGUCAACAUGCCGAGCUCUGACGAAGCUGCGCCGGCACCGUGUCAGCUUAUAAAAGCCAACGUUGGCAAGUGUGUCAGAGAAAAGGACGCAGCGGAGUGCAAAGACCUUGUAGACGCCUUUCAUGCCUGUGCAAAGACCCUGUCUGAAGGAUCGUGACAUUUUCCAGCCGGAAGUGCAUGGACUGAAUCAUCUCAAAAACCGGAGAAGAGGAGACAUGUCUGCACAAUUAACUUGUCAAUGCCAGCUGUGUUUUGUGAAAGUUGGCAAUGUAGUCUUUGUGUGGGCCUAUUUUUUUUUAUAAUAAACUCAAAUAACUUA
Hippocampus zosterae (dwarf seahorse) is the source of this 2298-nucleotide long non-coding RNA. RefSeq lists it as uncharacterized. Lineage: Eukaryota; Metazoa; Chordata; Actinopteri; Syngnathiformes; Syngnathidae. The record is from RefSeq and is a predicted model, not a curated record. The transcript has 4 exons.